Molecule: long non-coding RNA, 427 nt
Filed under: Suricata suricatta (meerkat)
Lineage: Eukaryota; Metazoa; Chordata; Mammalia; Carnivora; Herpestidae
Description: lncRNA (ENSSSUG00005007978.1)
Source: RNAcentral
AGCCUCCUUUGUGUUUAGUUCUUCAGGUAUGGUGUGAGAAUAACGGUUGUAGCUGUUUCACGGGGUCUUCACAAGAAUGACGGCAUCUAAUGCUUGCAGACCUCUCCGCCCCUGCUCUGCAUAACAGUAGCCCCUGCUGUAUGCAUACAUCCACACCUAUGUGCUGAGUCACCAGCUCUGAAGCCUUCACCUCUCGGAGCUGCCUCCCGGAUCCACAUUAACCACCACGCCCAGGUAAUCUGGAGACCACACUUUGAGAAGCACUGUUCUGGAAAGAUCAUGAGCAGAGGAAGCGAGACAGCUGGCUGUGCUUAGCCCUUGCUCCUCUCCUGGCCAAUUUAGGAGAAGGAAAGAUGGUGUCCAAAUCACUGAUGGUGAGAAAGUCAAACAGAAGGCUGCCAUUUUUAAAAAUGAAGAAAGGUUAAAC